CCCCAAUAUCAGCGCAUCCCGUUUCGCGGGGCGGGUGUUGGGGUUAAUGCCACCAAGUAGUGGUUGCAGGCUUGAGGAGAGCCGCCGAGUGGUGGUUCUAGAGGGAAAAAUCUGCCAAGUUCAAAGGUCAGGCAAGCGAAAGGUUUACCGAGUCGGAAGGUUGGGCGAGUAAAAAAAUUACCAAGUCCAAAAUACUGGCGGUAACCUACCCGGGACUCCGAGUAAGUCGGGGAAGAAGUUGGCGGAUUUUUCCCCAACCAACUCAACUUUUGACCAAUUUACCUGCCCGAGCUCACGGGUAGGCUGCGGUUUAUUUUUGGACUUUGUAGAUUUACUUAAAUCAAUUCACAGGAAGUUACCUGCCGAAUUACCUGGGCUCCCGGGUAGGCUAUAGUUAACUUUUGGACUUCCGACUAUAACCUGGGAUUUUCCCAACCAUAGCUCACGGGUAGGUUAGUUGUGAUUUUUGGACUCGGUGAAAUUUCUACUUUCCUGCCAAGUCUAGUCUACCCGGGAGCCCAGGCAAGUCGGGCAGGUAAAUUCCGCCAACUCGGCAGGGAACUAAUUGCAAAUCAAUUCAAGCAAAUGUGCCAAGUCCACAAAUCAAUCGCAGCCUACCUGGUAGGUAAGCCUGUGUAGUUUCCGUGUAAUUUUCCCGUAAAGACCAAAAAGUCAGGUAUUUUGGUACUUAAUUUAUAUAAGUACAAGUUGAUUUUUUUGUUUUUUUAUAUAAAUAAAUUUUGCGGAAAAUAAAAAAUAAGCUAUAAAAGCCUGGUAGCGGAGGCGGGCCCUUAGGGUAGUUGGUGGGUAUAUGAGAGGGAGGGCUGGACACGCGUCGCGUCGCGUAUUUCCGCCGCAGCCAAUACUUUUAGCUUUAGGGUAGGCUGCUUCUUUAGAGGCGUGCUGAAUUAAAUGGUCUCUUGAGUGAGGGGAUUUCUCUGCUGGCAGUUGCCUGUGAUCCGGGAGUCCGUGGCGGUAAAGUCAACUGUAAGGCUUGUGUGUGUGCCGGGGCCCUGUAAGUCCCGACCAGGAACCCUACAGGUCACGUGCCGAUACAAUAAGACAGAUAAGAUAUACGGCACGUGCUAAUACACGUGCCAAUACAAGUGACGAUAAGAUCAACAAGAUACCUGCACGUGCCUAGUCACGGAGACUUACACGUGUCCCGCUGCCAAGAUCCCCGAGAUUGCCGACCUCGCCGACUACUCUUGGUGUAAUGUGCUGGUACUUGCGGUCACAUACAAGUUCCUAGUAUUUUGGCGUAGUUGUGGUCGUGGUCGUGCAGUUACAGCAGUGCACUUACCCUGUAGUACUGCUGGCACCGGCCACCGUCGCGUGCACGCGGCUGCCGUCGGCCGUGGUGGAGGGUUACCCGGGACCACGGUGCAUUUUUCCGUUUUUUUCAUUUUUUUCAAAAUCGACGACCAAAAAGUUGGUAGGUCUGGGUUGCCUUGCUGGCCAAUAGAGAUUUGUAUGGCGCUACUAUAGGGUAGGUAUAGGGUAGGCUGUGCCGGUACUUGCGGUCGCACACAAAUCCCUAGCAGCCUGAAGUACCCCCGCGCGCGGGCAACUUCAAACCGCUAUAGCUCCUCCCAGCGGCAUCACACACAACUAUGAGGGCCACCAUUCGAUUCGUCUCGCCGAGCUGCAUCGAUUGAGCCCGGGUUGCCAAAAAGUCGGGUGUUUUGGUAUUUGAUUUGUAUGGGCGUGAGUCGAUUUUUUUGUUUUCCCAUACAAAUGAAUUUUGCGGAAAAUAAAAAAUGGACCACGAGCGCCCGGUGGCGGAGGUGGACCCUCGAGGUGGUCGGUGGGUAUGUGAGAAGGGGGCGUCGAAAGAUGCCGGGACAGCUGGGUCUUCGCUGAAAGGCAGGAUUUCCGGUGAGUCACCGCCCUCUCUGUACCAUAUCUUGCCGAGCCCCAGUGCUUGAGUGGCCUCCUGAACACGCCUGUAGAAGGUCUCUUUUACAGGCUGGGAGGUCACACUGGGGAUUCAAACUCCACGAAACCGGCGGCUACGGCCGUGCGGCGUACUGGUUAUACCUCGUGGCAGUGGGAGGCACCCGCCUCUUACCGCUCAGGAGAUGGGUUCUGUGGGCUGCUGGCCGCUGGCCAACAUGCCGUAAAUCAGAAUAACGGGAGGCAACCACGGGUAGCUGACGCCGAAAUGGCAGAGGCUGCACGGAGCGUCCUCCUCUUAGGGCACCUAUACCGCACUUUACGGUGCGUGUGGACGGCUGCGCCUAGGGAAUUGAGAGGGGGAAAGCGGAUUUGCCGCUGGGCGGUCUCUCCCGGUCAAACGGGCAGGGCACCUCCCGGCGCGCAGCACCCUUUCGAGUGGGGGAAAGGUGUGCCGACCAGUAACUUGGACUAUUCUCUCCGGCGCCCCCAACAGGGCGUCGGUAGGCCAACCCCGGCGAACGAUAGU
RNAcentral lists this unclassified non-coding RNA (2425 nucleotides) under Metarhizium robertsii. Lineage: Eukaryota; Fungi; Ascomycota; Sordariomycetes; Hypocreales; Clavicipitaceae. The record is from RNAcentral.